This 497-nucleotide ribosomal RNA is filed under the name uncultured bacterium. Its description in RNAcentral is "partial 16S ribosomal RNA". It matches the Rfam family "Bacterial small subunit ribosomal RNA", at positions 28 to 507 of the family's 1533-position model. The record is from RNAcentral.
GAUGAACGCUGGCGGCGUGCCUAAUACAUGCAAGUCGAGCGAACAGACGAGGAGCUUGCUCCUCUGACGUUAGCGGCGGACGGGUGAGUAACACGUGGAUAACCUACCUAUAAGACUGGGAUAACUUCGGGAAACCGGAGCUAAUACCGGAUAAUAUAUUGAACCGCAUGGUUCAAUAGUGAAAGACGGUUUUGCUGUCACUUAUAGAUGGAUCCGCGCCGCAUUAGCUAGUUGGUAAGGUAACGGCUUACCAAGGCAACGAUGCGUAGCCGACCUGAGAGGGGGAUCGGCCACACUGGAACUGAGACACGGUCCAGACUCCUACGGGAGGCAGCAGUAGGGAAUCUUCCGCAAUGGGCGAAAGCCUGACGGAGCAACGCCACGUGAGUGAUGAAGGUCUUCGGAUCGUAAAACUCUGUUAUUAGGGAAGAACAAAUGUGUAAGUAACUAUGCACGUCUUGACGGUACCUAAUCAGAAAGCCACGGCUAACUACGUG